Molecule: ribosomal RNA, 496 nt
Filed under: uncultured bacterium
Lineage: Bacteria
Description: partial 16S ribosomal RNA
Rfam family: Bacterial small subunit ribosomal RNA
Source: RNAcentral
GAUGAACGCUGGCGGCGUGCCUAAUACAUGCAAGUCGAGCGAACAGACGAGGAGCUUGCUCCUCUGACGUUAGCGGCGGACGGGUGAGUAACACGUGGAUAACCUACCUAUAAGACUGGGAUAACUUCGGGAAACCGGAGCUAAUACCGGAUAAUAUAUUGAACCGCAUGGUUCAAUAGUGAAAGACGGUUUUGCUGUCACUUAUAGAUGGAUCCGCGCCGCAUUAGCUAGUUGGUAAGGUAACGGCUUACCAAGGCAACGAUGCGUAGCCGACCUGAGAGGGUGAUCGGCCACACUGGAACUGAGACACGGUCCAGACUCCUACGGGAGGCAGCAGUAGGGAAUCUUCCGCAAUGGGCGAAAGCCUGACGGAGCAACGCCGCGUGAGUGAUGAAGGUCUUCGGAUCGUAAAACUCUGUUAUUAGGGAAGAACAAAUGUGUAAGUAACUAUGCACGUCUUGACGGUACCUAUCAGAAAGCCACGGCUAACUACGUG